AGUGAACGCUGGCGGUAGGCCUAACACAUGCGAGUCGAACGGCAGCACAGUAAGAGCUUGCUCUUACGGGUGGCGAGUGGCGGACGGGUGAGGAAUACAUCUGAAUCUACUUUUUCGUGGGGGAUAACGUAGGGAAACUUACGCUAAUACCGCAUACGACCUACGGGUGAAAGCAGGGGAUCUUCGGACCUUGCGCGAUUGAAUGAGCCGAUGUCGGAUUAGCUAGUUGGCGGGGUAAAGGCCCACCAAGGCGACGAUCCGUAGCUGGUCUGAGAGGAUGAUCAGCCACACUGGAACUGAGACACGGUCCAGACUCCUACGGGAGGCAGCAGUGGGGAAUAUUGGACAAUGGGCGCAAGCCUGAUCCAGCCAUACCGCGUGGGUGAAGAAGGCCUUCGGGUUGUAAAGCCCUUUUGUUGGGAAAGAAAAGCAGCAGGUUAAUACCCCGCUGUUCUGACGGUACCCAAAGAAUAAGCACCGGCUAACUUCGUG
Molecule: ribosomal RNA, 492 nt
Filed under: uncultured bacterium
Lineage: Bacteria
Description: partial 16S ribosomal RNA
Rfam family: Bacterial small subunit ribosomal RNA
Source: RNAcentral